GAUGAACGCUGGCGGCGUGCCUAAUACAUGCAAGUCGAGCGAACGGACGAGAAGCUUGCUUCUCUGAUGUUAGCGGCGGACGGGCGAGUAACACGUGGAUAACCUACCUAUAAGACUGGGAUAACUUCGGGAAACCGGAGCUAAUACCGGAUAAUAUUUUGAACCGCAUGGUUCAAAAGUGAAAGACGGUCUUGCUGUCACUUAUAGAUGGAUCCGCGCUGCAUUAGCUAGUUGGUAAGAUAACGGCUUACCAAGGCAACGAUGCAUAGCCGACCUGAGAGGGUGAUCGGCCACACUGGAACUGAGACACGGUCCAGACUCCUACGGGAGGCAGCAGUAGGGAAUCUUCCGCAAUGGGCGAAAGCCUGACGGAGCAACGCCGCGUGAGUGAUGAAGGUCUUCGGAUCGUAAAACUCUGUUAUUAGGGAAGAACAUAUGUGUAAGUAACUGUGCACAUCUUGACGGUACCUAAUCAGAAAGCCACGGCUAACUACGUG
Molecule: ribosomal RNA, 497 nt
Filed under: uncultured bacterium
Lineage: Bacteria
Description: partial 16S ribosomal RNA
Rfam family: Bacterial small subunit ribosomal RNA
Source: RNAcentral